AUAUCAAUAAGCGGAGGAAAAGAAACCAACAGGGAUUGCCCUAGUAACGGCGAGUGAAGCGGCAACAGCUCAAAUUUGAAAUCUGGCUCUCGGGCCCGAGUUGUAAUUUGUAGAGGAUACUUUUGAUGCGGUGCCUUCCGAGUUCCCUGGAACGGGACGCCAUAGAGGGUGAGAGCCCCGUCUGGUUGGAUGCCAAAUCUCUGUAAAGUCCCUUCAACGAGUCGAGUAGUUUGGGAAUGCUGCUCUAAAUGGGAGGUAUAUGUCUUCUAAAGCUAAAUACCGGCCAGAGACCGAUAGCGCACAAGUAGAGUGAUCGAAAGAUGAAAAGCACUUUGAAAAGAGAGUUAAAAAGUACGUGAAAUUGUUGAAAGGGAAGCGUUUAUGACCAGACUUGGGCUUGGUUAAUCAUCUGGGGUUCUCCCCAGUGCACUUUUCCAGUCCAGGCCAGCAUCAGUUUUCCCCGGGGGAUAAAGGCGGCGGGAAUGUGGCUCUCUUCAGGGAGUGUUAUAGCCCACCGUGUAAUACCCUGGGGGGGACUGAGGUUCGCGCAUCUGCAAGGAUGCUGGCGUAAUGGUCAUCAACG
This 583-nucleotide ribosomal RNA is filed under the name Fusarium oxysporum f. sp. albedinis. RNAcentral describes it as "LSU rRNA". It matches the Rfam family "Eukaryotic large subunit ribosomal RNA", at positions 40 to 646 of the family's 3401-position model. The record is from RNAcentral. Lineage: Eukaryota; Fungi; Ascomycota; Sordariomycetes; Hypocreales; Nectriaceae.